This 500-nucleotide ribosomal RNA is filed under the name uncultured bacterium. RNAcentral describes it as "partial 16S ribosomal RNA". It matches the Rfam family "Bacterial small subunit ribosomal RNA", at positions 30 to 523 of the family's 1533-position model. The record is from RNAcentral.
AUUGAACGCUGGCGGCAGGCCUAACACAUGCAAGUCGAGCGGAUGAGUGGAGCUUGCUCCAUGAUUCAGCGGCGGACGGGUGAGUAAUGCCUAGGAAUCUGCCUGGUAGUGGGGGACAACGUUUCGAAAGGAACGCUAAUACCGCAUACGUCCUACGGGAGAAAGCAGGGGACCUUCGGGCCUUGCGCUAUCAGAUGAGCCUAGGUCGGAUUAGCUAGUAGGUGAGGUAAUGGCUCACCUAGGCGACGAUCCGUAACUGGUCUGAGAGGAUGAUAGGUCAAACGGGAACUGAGACACGGUCCAGACUCCUACGGGAGGAAGCAGUGGGGAAUAUUGGACAAUGGGCGAAAGCCUGAUCCAGCCAUGCCGCGUGUGUGAAGAAGGUCUUCGGAUUGUAAAGCACUUUAAGUUGGGAGGAAGGACAGUAAGUUAAUACCUUGCUGUUUUGACGUUACCAACAGAAUAAGCACCGGCUAACUUCGUGCCAGCAGCCGCCGUAA